Molecule: ribosomal RNA, 429 nt
Filed under: bacterium
Lineage: Bacteria
Description: partial 16S ribosomal RNA
Rfam family: Bacterial small subunit ribosomal RNA
Source: RNAcentral
UAGGGAAUCUUCCACAAUGGACGCAAGUCUGAUGGAGCAACGCCGCGUGAGUGAAGAAGGUUUUCGGAUCGUAAAGCUCUGUUGUUGGUGAAGAAGGAUAGAGGUAGUAACUGGCCUUUAUUUGACGGUAAUCAACCAGAAAGUCACGGCUAACUACGUGCCAGCAGCCGCGGUAAUACGUAGGUGGCAAGCGUUGUCCGGAUUUAUUGGGCGUAAAGCGAGCGCAGGCGGAAGAAUAAGUCUGAUGUGAAAGCCCUCGGCUUAACCGAGGAACUGCAGCGGAAACUGUGUAUCUUGAGUGCAGAAGAGGAGAGUUGAAUUCAAUGUGUAGCGGGGGAAUGCAUAGAUAGAAGGAAGAACACCAGUGGCGAAGGCGACUCUCUGGUCUGAAACUGACGCUGAGGCACGAAAGCAUGGGUAGCGAACAGG